Molecule: long non-coding RNA, 4681 nt
Organism: Sapajus apella (tufted capuchin)
Lineage: Eukaryota; Metazoa; Chordata; Mammalia; Primates; Cebidae
Exons: 2
Source: RefSeq, a predicted model, not a curated record
CACCUCACCCAAGUGAAUCUCCCACCUUGACCUCCAAAAGUGCUGGGAUUACAGGCGUGAGCCACUGCGCCCAGCCAAGUUACAGAUCUUGAGAGGAGCUUAUCCUGGAUUAUCCAAGUGGGCUGUCAACACCUGUAUGUCUCACCUCUGCAUCUUAUAAGAGUGAUGCAGAGGUGUCUAGAGGGAAACUAAACAGACACAUUGAGCAAAAGGCCACGGGAGGACAGAGAUAGGGAUUGGGGUGAUGCAGCCACAAGCCACCAGAAACUGGAGGAGGCAGGCACAGAUUCCCCUGGAGCCUCCAGAGAGACUACAGCCCUGCCAACAUCUGCAUCUCAGACUUCUGGUCUCCAGAGCUGUGAGAAUCAGUUUCUCUUGUUUGCAGAUACUGAAGUUGUGGUUAUUCUGGCAGCCCCAGGAGACUAAUAGUACUGCCUAAGAACGUUAGAGUUUGGCUUAUGUUACCUCUACCUAAAAAGGUCCUGGUUUAUACAGUAUUAAGUCUGCCCACAGGAAUGAGUCAUGCCUUGUUCCUCCACAUCUGAAUGUCAGCCUCCUUGUCCUGCCAGGGAGCUGUCACUUUCGUGCACGGGCUUUGGGAGACUGCAGUCCUUCCCCCAGACUACCCUCCCGUGACUGGCUGUCUGUUACCUGUUGCCUGGCAGGUGGCUGGGAGUGGGGGUGAUGCAAAAAGGCAGGUGCUGGACACGUCCGUGGAUUUAUUGCUGGAAACUUCAUGGCUCAUGAACGCCCAUCCUGGUGUGGAGCCCAGUGAUUAGGUGCAAGGUUGAAGUGGAAACCACUCACCGCCCACCAAGUGAGUCAGGCUCACAGAACCAGCGCAUUUUUGUAUGAAAUGUGGACACAGGUCAGUGAAAUUUCCAGAGGGCCAGAAGGACAGGGGCUGUGCAGGGCUUUAGAAGCAGUCCUUCGACUGGACAGCAGCUUGCCUGUGAGCCUGGCACGCGUGUGAGCUGAAGCAGAAGGGCACGGCCCUGCCUCGCCAGGCCUGGGAAGGCCUGGAUUAGAGGAUGUCUGGGGAAGCUGCUCUGCUCGGGGCAAGUCUCACCACACCCAAAUGAACCUUCAGUUCAAGGCAAAAGAGAGAGAGAAAUUAAGAAGAUGAGGACACACACUAGAAAAUAAAACACAAACUCAGAAUGGAGUCUUCAAGGGACAGAAACCAAAUGUGGAAGGAAAGGCUUACAGGGCACGCCAAUGGGCCCUGGCAACUCCGUCCAGCACAUUUGAGACAGCCAUUGGGAUCUUCCAGGCUAACCACUUUCUUGUUUCCGGGACACAGGGUGGAAAGGAAUUCUUGCUGGGGGGGCUGCAGGGCGUGUCUGUUCAAACGUGACCCAUAUGGAUGCCAAGCAUGACACCACUGUUGUUGACAGAAUUUGCCAAAAUGAAGACCAGCUGGUGAUAAGUUUUAAGGAAAACAAGGUUCAGUUUUCCCUUGAUUACACAGUAGUUGCAUUCCUGGAAAACUGGCUGUAUAUUAAACCAGCUCUUAAAUACUUUGUGUUUAUAACUAGGUUAGGUUCUGCACGCAAACAACUGGGAACAGACUUUUUCAUGCUCACAAAUAUCCAGCAGGCCCACCAGGCAUGCUGCCCACUCAGGGCCUCUGCACCGGUCACCCCUUUGUAAUGCUCUUCUCUCAGACCUCCACGUUCCUUCCUGCUCCCUCCACCCGUCCUUCUGCUCAGCUGUCAGCAGAACAGCUUUCCCAGCCACACCACGUUAAGCAGCAAUCCCUCCAGGACUUUCUACCCCCAGCCCUACUUUUACCUUUCUUCAUAGCGCUUUUCUGACGUUUUAUUAUCAUCUCCCCUGCUAGGUUGUGAACUCCUGGAGGACAUAGCUUUUUGUCUGUUUUGUUCAGUGCAAAAUCUCUGGUCCUGAUGCAGUGCCUAGCCCUGAUGUGUUCAAUAAAAUUUUGUUGAAGAACUAGGUGAAUAAAUCUAGAGAAUAAUUCACUUAAGCAGGGUAAGAAAAGAUACCUAAUUCUACUGCCUUUGGCCUAUCAUGCUCUGUUUCACAAAGUCAUUCAGGGACCCAGGCUCCUUCAGUUCUGUUGUAUUACCACCUUCGACAUAAGCCUUCAAGGUUGAUGGAGAGAGUGGAAGAGACACUCACUCUGAAUGGCCUUGAAGUGACACAUCAUUGGUGAGGGCUGGUCCCAUGGCUUUCCCCAGACGCCAUGAGCCCAGGCCAUGCAGUUGAAGCUGUGGACUCAGGAAGAAGAAAUUGAGUGGUGCCCCUCCCUCAAGUUGGUGGCUUUGCAGUUUCCAGGCACCAGUGGGAAGACCACACCCUUCAUUGGAUGGUCACCACCAGGCCCUCACUGUGUUCAACUAAGUCUCACGGGGCCUUCGUUGCUCACCUGCACCUCUUACUGCUUGGGGACUAGAAGCAGUUGGCUUUUCCAGAAUUGCAAGGCCCUGGUUGACGUCUUUCCACCCCUUUUCCCUUCUGCGUGUAAACUGGCUAAUUCUUUCUUGGAGUAAACUUUUUCUUGUGAUGUGUCGCCAAAAGCAGCCAAUAAUAAUCAACACAUAGGACGAUGUCUUUUUCAUUUCUUUCCCUCAAACCAAAAAGUCAGCAGGCAUGGAGUUUGCUUUCUGAAUUACCGAGUAAAACCGCCUUACCACAUGUUUUGCUCCGCCUGGCAGAGACCUGAGUUUCCUGCCAGCUGCAUCUGUCUCCUCACUGCCCGCCACCUGGCCACACGCUGAGCCAGUGCCACGUACUUUAGGUUUUGGUUACAGGUGCACUGCACUUCAAAGUGCCGAUUUAUUAGCGAGAAUAAGAAAAGCUAACUGGUUUAACAAAGCCCCAGAUCUCAGUGGAUCAGUACAGUGCAAGUUUGCUUUCCAGUGAUGCAAGGGCCAACACAGCUCUGACUGAUCAGGUGGCCUGCCUCUAAGGGGUGACUCGGACUCACAGUCCCUCCAGUGUCUUUGACAUGUGGCUCUCAGGAGAGUCCCCCGUGGGAGCAUUUGUGUGCCAAGUUUGGAAUUGGUGCCUGUCACUUCUUCCAACCUUUCCUUGGCCAUGGCUUAGCUUGGUUCCAACCUAACUACAGGGAGGCUGGGAAAUGAUGAGCUGUGGGCCCAGUAGGUUUGGUAAACACAGCGUUAUCUCUGACACAGUACCACCAAAUCACAGGUUUCUAUCCUGUUAGAAACUGUUGCUGGCUUCCACAGCCCUCCCUGGAAGAGUUUCAAGGUCCUCAACUUGUUUGCGGCUACUAGUCUGGCCAUUUCCCUCCCCAAGUCAGACCCGAGCUCUGGUGGGCAGGCCUCCUCCAGGCUCCUGCCCUCACCUCAGCUCCUGGCCCUAGUACCCUGCCGCCCUCCCCUAUAGAAGUGACUGUCUUCUUUGUGUUUCCUCCAUCUGUCAAUGACCUCAUUCCUCUGGAAGGAAGCCCUUGCACUGGGAAUCUGCUCUCUGCUCUGAGGUCCUGAAAUGCAUGACUCUGACCCAUUCUGAGGGUAGGAGCCAAAUAAAGUGGGGACGCACGGGAGGCCCCCAAACAAGGCCUUGCCAAUGGGAAUACCUUCAUGAAAAAGUCAAAGCCAAGGACAACAGUGUGGCCAUAGUUGAGACCUGUCAGCACACCUGAGAUUUAGCAGUUUGGAGAGAACCUAGAGGCACAUUCAAGGGCCCUUGAGGAGAGCGCGAAGCGGAAGGAUAAUGGCACCACUGGAGACAGUGGUGUGGUUAGUGGAAGGGUGAGACGGCUGUCCACACCCCACUGCUCAGAGCUGUCCCUGCCUCCACAGGCAGGGUCCCACACCAGGGCACAGCUGCCCCGCAGGCACACAAAGGCUGUCACGGAAAGUCUGUGGCUCACAAGUGCUUGAAGGGGUGUCUGGGGUGCCUGCAGGGGUUUUAGCUUUCACCUCCGUAACUGUCAAGUGCUCCCUCAGAGGCAGUCUGAAAACUGGUAAAAGCUUAAAUACAGGCAAAACAAUGCAAAAUCAAAAUGAAACACUCAGAACAAAAGCCACAUUUUUACCAGAUCUACUUUUAUUUCAGAAGGAAGUUUGUAUUAUUUACUUUUGUUUAUAUACAAGUUCUUCACAUUUGUGUUUAAAAUGCACAGACCUCCCUUAGUUCUCUUGUUCCUGCUUAAAUUAGCCGUUAUUUUACAAUACAAAAAAUACCAAAAAAUUGCAGUCCUAAAUGUAUGUAUAACACCCACAAUCCCCAGCAAUGAAAUAGUUUACAAUACUUACUCCAUAUUUACAUGUGUAAUAGAUGCUAAAUUAUACAUAUUAACAAACUAAGCUUGAAUCCAAACAAAACUGUAAAUAACUAUAAAACAAAAACAUUUCCAGAGCCAGAAUUAGUUCAACGAAACAGGCUUCACUAGUGUUUAGAACGUUUUGUGCACAAAUUCAGUUACUGAAAGUUGAUUCUAUUAUUGCCUUUAAAAGAGAAGGCGCCAAUUUUCCUCUCCACUCCAAAACAUCUCCCUGUAGGCAGCGUGUUUGACUUUCCUCAAGGGGCAAUGUCUCUUGGUGGAAUGGCUAUCUAGAAGCCACUGCAGUGGCUGCAGCCAAGUUUGGUCAAUGGGGUCAUUUGGUCAUUUCAGAAGGUAGGCAGGGCAUGCCCAGAGGACAGGAGGCCUCUGUCAUCCUGGCUCUGUCCUAAGGAUGGCCAAUUCUCA